GUGGAGCAAUCCAUGAGUAAAGUGGCGCACGGGUGAGUAACACGUGACUAACCUACCCUUGAGUGGGGAAUAACUUCGGGAAACCGAGGCUAAUACCGCAUAACACCUACGGGUCAAAGGAGCAAUUCGCUUAAGGAGGGGGUCGCGGCAGAUUAGUUAGUUGGCGGGGUAAUGGCCCACCAAGACGGUGAUCUGUAUCCGGCCUGAGAGGGCGCACGGACACACUGGAACUGAAACACGGUCCAGACUCCUACGGGAGGCAGCAGUGGGGAAUUUUGCGCAAUGGGGGAAACCCUGACGCAGCAACGCCGCGUGGAGGAUGAAGUCCCUUGGGACGUAAACUCCUUUCGAUCGGGACGAUUAUGACGGUACCGGAAGAAGAAGCCCCGGCUAACUUCGUGCCAGCAGCCGCGGUAAUACGAGGGGGGCGAGCGUUGUUCGGAAUUAUUGGGCGUAAAGGGCGCGUAGGCGGUUGGAUAAGUCUCGUGUGAAAUCUUCGGGCUCAACUCGAAGUCUGCACGAGAAACUAUCCGGCUAGAGUGUGGGAGAGGUGAGUGGAAUUCCUGGUGUAGCGGUGAAAUGCGUAGAUAUCAGGAGGAACACCUGUGGCGAAAGCGGCUCACUGGACCACAACUGACGCUGAGGCGCGAAAGCUAGGGGAGCAAACAGGAUUAGAUACCCUGGUAGUCCUAGCCCUAAACGAUGAUCGCUUGGUGUGACGGGUACCCAAUCCC
Molecule: ribosomal RNA, 734 nt
Filed under: uncultured bacterium
Lineage: Bacteria
Description: bacterial SSU rRNA
Rfam family: Bacterial small subunit ribosomal RNA
Source: RNAcentral